This 439-nucleotide ribosomal RNA is filed under the name uncultured soil bacterium. RNAcentral describes it as "bacterial SSU rRNA". It matches the Rfam family "Bacterial small subunit ribosomal RNA", at positions 26 to 518 of the family's 1533-position model. The record is from RNAcentral.
AGAACGAACGCUGGCGGCAUGCCUAAUACAUGCAAGUCGAACGAACUCUUCGGAGUUAGUGGCGCACGGGUGCGUAACGCGUGGGAAUCUGCCCCUUGGUUCGGAAUAACAGUUGGAAACGACUGCUAAUACCGGAUGAUGACGAAAGUCCAAAGAUUUAUCGCCAAGGGAUGAGCCCGCGUAGGAUUAGCUAGUUGGUGAGGUAAAGGCUCACCAAGGCAACGAUCCUUAGCUGGUCUGAGAGGAUGAUCAGCCACACUGGGACUGAGACACGGCCCAGACUCCUGCGGGAGGCAGCAGUAGGAAUAUGGACAAUGGCGAAAGCCUGAUCCAGCAAUGCCGCGUGAGUGAUGAAGGCUUAGGGUUGUAAGCUCUUUACCCGAGAUGAUAAUGACAGUAUCGGAGAAUACGCCCGACUAACUCCGCGCCAGCACGCCGC